Molecule: ribosomal RNA, 540 nt
Filed under: Triticum aestivum (bread wheat)
Lineage: Eukaryota; Viridiplantae; Streptophyta; Magnoliopsida; Poales; Poaceae
Description: partial small subunit ribosomal RNA
Source: RNAcentral
AUGGCGCAAGAUAAUACCAAAUUGUGUGAUUUCUCCAAUACCAAUAAUAAUGAUUUCCUUAGUACUCCGAUUGCUCCUCUUAAUGAUGUUGAGUCUUGUGAAAUCAAUACUGCUUUACUGAAUCUUGUUAUGAAAGAUCAAUUCGCCGGCCUUCCUAGUGAAGAUGCCGCUACCCAUCUAAACAAUUUUGUUGAUUUCUGUGAGAUGCAAAAGAAGAAAGAUACGGAUAAUGAUAUUGUUAAAUUGAAGUUAUUUCCAUUUUCACUUAGAGAUCGCGCUAAAGUUUGGUUUUCGUCUUUGCCUAAAAAUAGUAUUGAUUCUUGGAAUAAGUGCAAAGAUGUUUUUAUCUCUAAGUAUUUUCCUUCCGCUAAGAUCAUCACUCUUAGGAACGAUAUUAUGAAUUUUAAACAACUUGAUCAUGAGCAUGUUGCCCAAUCUUGGGAAAGAAUGAAAUUGAUGAUUCGCAAUUGCCCUACUCAUGGUUUGAAUUUAUGGAUGAUUAUACAAAAAAAUUAUGCCGGCUCGAAUUUUGCUUCUAGA